UUGGAGGGCAAGUCUGGUGCCAGCAGCCGCGGUAAUUCCAGCUCCAAUAGCGUAUAUUAAAGUUGUUGCAGUUAAAAAGCUCGUAGUUGAAUUUCGGGGUUAGUAGGUUGGUCAUGCCUCUGGUAUGUACUGGUCUCACUGAUUCCUCCUUCCUGAUGAGCCGUAAUGCCAUUAAUUUGGUGUUGCGGGGAAUUUGGACUGUUACUUUGAAAAAAUUAGAGUGUUUAAAGCAAGCUAACGCUUGAAUACAUUAGCAUGGAAUAAUGAAAUAGGACGUUCGAUCCUAUUUUGUUGGUUUCUAGGAUUGACGUAAUGAUUAAUAGGGAUAGUUGGGGGCAUUAGUAUUCAAUUGUCAGAGGUGAAAUUCUUGGAUUUAUUGAAGACUAACUACUGCGAAAGCAUUUGCCAAGGAUGUUUUCAUUAAUCAAGAACGAAAGUUAGGGGAUCGAAGACGAUCAGAUACCGUCGUAGUCUUAACCAUAAACUAUGCCGACUAGGGAUCGGAUGAUGUUAAUUCUUUAAUGACUCAUUCGGCGCCUUACGGGAAAC
RNAcentral lists this ribosomal RNA (549 nucleotides) under uncultured Glomeromycotina. RNAcentral describes it as "SSU rRNA". It matches the Rfam family "Eukaryotic small subunit ribosomal RNA", at positions 548 to 1098 of the family's 1831-position model. Lineage: Eukaryota; Fungi; Glomeromycota. The record is from RNAcentral.